GUUUGGGAACCACUGCGUUAAUGUAUCUGGAGCUGUCUGUGGUAUCUAUGUUUCUCUCUAGUUGACGUCAUCAUUGGGAGAAGUCCCUCCCAUUUGUGAUGCUGCCUUAUUAGAAUAAACACAGCCCUGAGUGAGAAGCAGCAGUCCGCCAUUACUGUUUUCUUGUUGUAGAUGCUUGUCAGUGUCAAAGAGCAAAGAGGCAUUAGAAGUGUUGUGUUUUAGGAUGCACCAAUGAACAUAGGAGUCUCCAUGGACCAGGGAUCCUCAAAUCCGGCCCACGAGAUCCACUUUCCUGCCGAGUUUAGCUCUAACCCUAAUUUAAACACACCUGAGCAUGCCAAUCAAUGUCUUCAGGUUCAUUAGAAAACUACAGGUAGGUGAGUUUGAUCAGGGUUGGAGAUAAACUCCGCAGCGCACUGGCCCUCCUGGACAAGAUUUGAGGAACCCUGCCAUAGACUCUCUCCAUCUGAACUGCUGAGGGCAUUGUGGUUAAGUUUAAUUUUCAAAGGACAGAUUUUACGCCAGACUGUCUAACAACUGAGGGUAAUUUCUAGGCUGGAUUUUUGCAAAAUGGAUUCCUAAACAGGGAUUGAUACCAAUGCUCUGUGCACAGACUUCAGCUCCAGACAAAUCAGAGGUAAUAACACAACAUGAGGCUGACAAACUGUCUAACUGCACACUGGUGCUUGAUAAGCUGUCAGAGCACAAAGCAAAGUGAAACCAUCUAUGACAAUGAGAGGCAGUGAUUCACCCGGCAUCAUCUAUGAGCCACUCUGCUUACCUCCAAAGACUAGCAACUAAAAUGAUCGGCCACAUGGAGCAUUUUAAAGAGUGUUCUCGGAGGAAGGGGAGGAUGGGGCUGCAGUCUACACCAUUUGUGCUGGCUUUGAGCCACACCAACUGUUCAUAAGACAGACACCCACAACCAUACAACAAGCCAAAGCCUGAAGAAUCUGCUCAAGAGACAAUUGUACAAUCGAAAUCGUACAGUCCACGUCAGGCAUAAGACAACAGUGGCAAAAUAAACCUGUAUAGGAUCAGUAAUCUCAUGCCAUAAUCCUCUAAAAUAUCAGACUUCUGCACAUUUCUGAGCCGCUUGCUCUCAUAUCGGGAGAAAUCAAUUGGACUUUGAACUGAGUGCAAACUAUACCUGUGUUAAUACUAUGGUUAAAGGUCAAAGGUCACUGGUCACAUUUUAAUAGGGAAAAAUUGUUAGGUGGUCUUUUAGAAGAACUAGAGGUUUAAACAUUUUUAAAGAAUUUUGUGUGUGUUUUCCUCAAAAAAAAAA
Molecule: long non-coding RNA, 1288 nt
Organism: Carassius auratus (goldfish)
Lineage: Eukaryota; Metazoa; Chordata; Actinopteri; Cypriniformes; Cyprinidae
Exons: 3
Source: RefSeq, a predicted model, not a curated record